GAUGAACGCUGGCGGCGUGCUUAACACAUGCAAGUCGAGCGGGCAAUUUAUCUAGCACUGAUUACUUCAAAUGGCUAUCGCCAGUGUAAUCAUGAAUUUCUACCUUAUAAUAAAGAAAAAAGAAAUUCAUGUACGCAAAUAGUGAUAACACAUUUUAGUGGAGUGAUGAGUGCUGGAUAAAUUGCUAGCGGCGGACGGGUGCGUAACACGUGGGUAACCUGCCCCUAUCACUGGGAUAACACACUGAAAAGUGUGCUAAUACCAGAUAACAUAAGCUUUUGGCAUCAUUAGCUUAUCAAAGAAUUUCGGAUAGGGAUGGGCCCGCGUCUGAUUAGCUUGUUGGUGAGGUAACGGCUCACCAAGGCAACGAUCAGUAGCCGACCUGAGAGGGUGAUCGGCCACACUGAAACUGAGACACGGUCCAGACUCCUACGGGAGGCAGCAGGUGGGGAAUAUUGCACAAUGGGCGAAAG
Molecule: ribosomal RNA, 473 nt
Filed under: uncultured bacterium
Lineage: Bacteria
Description: bacterial SSU rRNA
Rfam family: Bacterial small subunit ribosomal RNA
Source: RNAcentral